Molecule: long non-coding RNA, 1379 nt
Filed under: Heterocephalus glaber (naked mole-rat)
Lineage: Eukaryota; Metazoa; Chordata; Mammalia; Rodentia; Bathyergidae
Description: lncRNA (ENSHGLG00000031921.1)
Source: RNAcentral
GCUCAGGGCUCAAGCACCCCUGGGUUCAAUCCCCAGUACCCCAAACAAAACAGAACAGAAUCAGCACGGUGGAGCAAGACAGAUUCCAGCGCCUGGCGGUCACCUCCCCGCCAGGUGGCGAUGAACACACCCCCGCCUGGCACAAAGCACCUCCAGCGGCUGCCCCAGUGCGGGUGGUGUUCUCCAUACCCCAGAAGGCCGGCAGUCUAGCCAGGGCGAAGACAGGAACACAGGACCCCACCCCUCAUUGUUCUCACCCCAGGCAGGAAAGGGCGGCUUCCUACAUGCUGGGCGAAAAGCGGGAGAAUCCCCGUCUUUCCCUAUAGGUUUCCCGGUGGCACUUUGGGUCUUGAUGAAACUACAGCGCAGGCACACGAGGGCCUCAGAGCCUCCAGGGUGAGCAGCAGUACAGGUACCUAAGGUCGCCCUGUACUGUUGGGCAGGUUGGGGCCUGAACAACCUGCUUGCCCUAGAGGGAAAACCAGGAAAAGGAGCCAGUGACUCUCACUAGUCCUGUUGGGGCACUUGGUUCCCCUCAGAGAAUCUGGGGAGUCGCGUUUCCAGAGAGGCUCCUCUGGCUCCGCCUGGGCUCCAUGGGGAACAGAGGCUCCAGCGGAACCGUCCUCGUGAGCAGGAAGAUCCAGAAGUCUCACAGUGUCAGAGCGGGUGACAAGGAGGAUGCGGACGUAGUCUCGUGUUUUUACAAGCCGCCUCUCCGCUGGAUGGCGCUCAGUGGCAGCAGUUACGUUUUUUAAUCACAUCUCAUAAAGACUCACGAAAGAAGACUGCAGAGACACUGCAGAAAAUUGCUGGAACACACGAGCGAUGCUGGUGGAGUAUUUAUGGAGUGGAUCCAUGGACAAAGGCCUGGCCGGCAGCGCGGUGGUAACAUGAGACAAGUGCUGGACAACAGAGGUGCCCGACCCGGCCAAGCAAGGGAAGGGCCGGGCUGGAGACAGGAUGCGAGCGUGGGGAGAACACUGGGGACUGUCAGCUCACAAUUGGGCCAAGACUGUUUUUUGUGGGGGUGGUUGGUAACGGGGAUCGCACUGGGGUCCUUCCGCUUGGGAGGCAGGCUGUGGAACCACUGAGCUAAAUCCCUGGCCCCACCAAUGUUUUUUGUUGAGACAGGAUCUGGCUUUCGUGGCCCAGACUGGCCCUGAGCCCUUCAUCCUACGGCCUCAGCCUCCAGAGAGCUGGGACUGCAGGUGUGUCAAGAUUACCCUGGGGUGGGAGUGUCAGCACGGGACCCCGCUUUAAGAGAGCCCCUGUAGCCUCCCGAGAGCUGGGGGAGCGUUGGGAGGCGUCGCCCGGUGCCUGAGCAGGACUGCGGUGAUUGCAGCCUUCGGUGACAGCAGCCGGGGACAGCGAUCUGGAGG